Molecule: ribosomal RNA, 1347 nt
Filed under: Aestuariibacter sp.
Lineage: Bacteria; Pseudomonadati; Pseudomonadota; Gammaproteobacteria; Alteromonadales; Alteromonadaceae
Description: partial 23S ribosomal RNA
Rfam family: Bacterial large subunit ribosomal RNA
Source: RNAcentral
UGACCCGGAGAUUUCCGAAUGGGGAAACCCGGCAGAGGUAAUACUUUGUCAUCGUUCAAUGAAUACAUAGUUGAACGAAGCGAACGGGGGGAAGUGAAACAUCUCAGUACCCCCAGGAAUAGAAAUCAAUUGAGAUUCCGUUAGUAGCGGCGAGCGAACGCGGAAUAGCCCAAACCAGUCAAUUUAUUGGCUGGGGUUGUAGGACCCCGAUGUGGGAUUGGUGAUAAAUAGCGGAAAGGCUUGGAAAGGCCUGCCAUAGACGGUGAUAGUCCGGUACGCGAAAUUUUGAUCCACCCUAGGGAGUUCCUGAGUACCACGAGACACGUGAAACCUUGUGGGAAUCUGGGAGGACCAUCUUCCAAGGCUAAAUACUACCUGGUGACCGAUAGUGAACUAGUACCGUGAGGGAAAGGUGAAAAGAACCCCGGGAGGGGAGUGAAAUAGAAACUGAAACCGUCAGCUUACAAGCAGUUGGAGCAUUAAUUUAUUAGUGUGACAGCGUGCCUUUUGCAUAAUGAGUCAACGACUUACCCUGUGUGGCAAGGUUAAGCCGCUAGGUGUAGCCGCAGCGAAAGCGAGUCUUAAACGGGCGUAGAGUCACAUGGGGUAGACCCGAAGCCGGGUGAUCUAUCCAUGUCCAGGGUGAAGGUCGAGUAACAUCGACUGGAGGCCCGAACCGAUAUAGGUUGAAAACUGUUCGGAUGAGGUGUGGAUAGGAGUGAAAGGCUAAUCAAACUCGGUGAUAGCUGGUUUUCUCCGAAAUAUAUUUAGGUAUAGCCUUGCGUGAUGACUGUUGGAGGUAGAGCACUGACAGGACUAGGGGUCCCACCGGAUUACCAACUCCUUUCAAACUCCGAAUGCCAACAAGUUCUAGCGUGGGAGUCAGACUGCGGGAGAUAAGUUCCGUAGUCGAAAGGGAAAGAACCCAGACCGCCGAUUAAGGUCCCUAAAUUUGCACUAAGUGGGAAAGGAGGUGGAAUUGCACAUACAACCAGGAGGUUGGCUUAGAAGCAGCAACCCUUUAAAGAAAGCGUAAUAGCUCACUGGUCUAGUGAAUCCGCGCCGAAAAUGUAACGGGGCUUAAGUGCAAUACCGAAAUCGCGGAAUGAAAUUUAUUUCAUUGGUAGGAGAACAUUGUGUAGGCCUGAGAAGGUGUAUGGUAACGUAUGCUGGAGGUAUCACAAGAGCUUAUGUUGACACGAGUAGCGAUAAAGGGAGUGAGAAACUCCCUCGCCGUAAGUCCGAGGUUUCCUUGAGUCAAGCUGAUCUGCUCAGGGUUAGUCGGCCCCUAAGGCGAGGCUGAAAAGCGUAGUCGAUGGGAAACAGGUUAAUAUUCCUGUACCGCCG